GUAUGGGGAUCUGCCCGAUAGAGGGGGAUAACUACUGGAAACGGUGGCUAAUACCGCAUAAUGUCUACGGACCAAAGCAGGGGCUCUUCGGACCUUGCACUAUCGGAUGAACCCAUAUGGGAUUAGCUAGUAGGUGGGAUAAAGGCUCACCUAGGCGACGAUCUCUAGCUGGUCUGAGAGGAUGAUCAGCCACACUGGGACUGAGACACGGCCCAG
This 216-nucleotide ribosomal RNA is filed under the name uncultured bacterium. RNAcentral's name for it is "partial 16S ribosomal RNA". It matches the Rfam family "Bacterial small subunit ribosomal RNA", at positions 115 to 334 of the family's 1533-position model. The record is from RNAcentral.